Molecule: long non-coding RNA, 143 nt
Organism: Maniola jurtina (meadow brown)
Lineage: Eukaryota; Metazoa; Arthropoda; Insecta; Lepidoptera; Nymphalidae
Exons: 3
Source: RefSeq, a predicted model, not a curated record
UAAAUUAAAAACUUUCAUUGUAUUUUCAUUUUUUUUAAUCAACCCAAACUAAAAUACUAAAAAAUAAAACUUACGAGCCUAGAUUAAGGUUUACUGAAUCUAAUGAGACCAAAAUUGUCUAUUAUUGUAAACGUUGGGGGGUA